CAGCAGCCGCGGUAAUACGGAGGGGGCUAGCGUUGUUCGGAAUUACUGGGCGUAAAGCGCACGUAGGCGGCUUGGUAAGUUAGAGGUGAAAGCCUGGAGCUCAACUCCAGAAUUGCCUUUAAGACUGCCGAGCUAGCAGGUGAGAGAGGGUUGUGGAAUUCCCAGUGUAGAGGUGAAAUUCGUAGAUAUUGGGAAGAACACCGGUGGCGAAGGCGGCAACCUGGUCCAUUACUGACGCUGAGGCGCGAAAGCGUGGGGAGCAAACAGGAUUAGAUACCCGCGUAGUCCCUGUCUCUUAUAC
This 301-nucleotide ribosomal RNA is filed under the name uncultured bacterium. RNAcentral describes it as "partial 16S ribosomal RNA". It matches the Rfam family "Bacterial small subunit ribosomal RNA", at positions 509 to 807 of the family's 1533-position model. The record is from RNAcentral.